Callithrix jacchus (white-tufted-ear marmoset) is the source of this 2358-nucleotide RNA transcript. It is a transcript of the gene named ARF like GTPase 6, with no coding region annotated. The record is from RefSeq and is a predicted model, not a curated record. Lineage: Eukaryota; Metazoa; Chordata; Mammalia; Primates; Cebidae.
CCUACAACUCCCAGCAUGCUUCUCCGGGAACUGCAAGGCUCCGCGCAGGAAAUCGGCAGCUCAGCCUGCCACCUCUGCGCGCACUUUUCUUUAAAGUGUAGUUCCUCGGCGUGCCUCUGGCCUGUUCCCGGAGCUCCUCAUUCCCAGAAGCUACAGCACUACGGCUGACUCGACAAGACACCCGGAGAGGCGUGGCUUCGCUACCGGAAGGAGCUCCUGUUGCCAAGGGAACGGUGCUUGCCACGGCGCCUGCUCAGCCACUGAUGCACGGGCUGCUGCAGCGGCUGCGGGUUUUCCCAACUUGUGGAGGAGGCUUUGCUCACUGCCAGGCAUCCUUCCUGUGUAGGCAUAGAGAAGAAGGCUGAGGGACCCUCGCACCAGAUUUUCAUCCCAGAGACCGAUACGAGUGCGUCCGUUCCUGUUACCAGCUCCUGCGCCCGCCGGACUCACAUCAAAAACCAGCUGGUUUCUAAAUAUUUGAAUCACAUUAUGGGAUUGCUAGACAGACUUUCAGUCUUGCUUGGCCUGAAGAAGAAGGAGGUUCACGUUUUGUGCCUUGGGCUAGAUAAUAGUGGCAAAACAACAAUCAUUAACAAACUUAAACCUUCAAAUGCUCAAUCUCAGGAUAUCAUUCCAACAACAGGAUUCAGCAUCGAGAAAUUCAAGUCAUCCAGUUUAUCAUUUACGGUGUUUGACAUGUCAGGUCAAGGAAGGUACAGAAAUCUCUGGGAACACUAUUAUAAAGAAGGUCAAGCUAUUAUUUUUGUCGUUGAUAGUAGUGAUAGAUUAAGAAUGGUUGUGGCCAAAGAAGAACUCGAUACUCUUCUGAAUCAUCCAGAUAUUAAGCACCGUCGAAUUCCAAUCUUAUUCUUUGCAAAUAAAAUGGAUCUUAGAGAUGCACUGACAUCUGUAAAAGUGUCUCAAUUGCUGUGUUUAGAGAACAUCAAGGAUAAGCCCUGGCAUAUUUGCGCUAGUGAUGCCAUAAAAGGGGAAGGAUUGCAGGAAGGUGUAUACUGGCUUCAAGACGGAGUCUCCGUCACCAGGCUGGAGUGCAGUGGCCCAGUCUCAGCUCACUGCAACCGCCACCUCCCAGGUUCAAGCGAUUCUCCUGCCUCAGCCUCCCGAAUAGCUGGGACUACAGGUGCCCUCCACCACACCCGGCUAAUUAUUUUUUGUAUUUUUAAUGGAGACAAGGUUUCUCCACGCUCGAUCUCCUCACCUCGUGAUCCGCCCCGCCUCAGCCUCCCAAAGUGCUGGGAUUACAGGUGUGAGCCACCACACAGGCCUCUACUACUUACUAAUUAACCUCUCUAUUAGCUGACAUCUUUUAUCUUGUGAAGUUUUUCUUAAUCUGUAAAAUUUUAAAAAUAAAAUAUGUUAAAUUUUAUACAGAUUAAAUUAGACACUGUUAAAGUACCUUGCAUAAGAAAGCACCCCACAAAUGUAAAAUUUACUCUUUUACCUAAACACCCUGUUUAACAAAGGAAGAAACUAAGUCCACAGGAUUAAAAAGUGUAUCAUUUGGUUUCAAAUAGGAGAUGCUUUGGUUGCAUUUUCUUUUCUUUUUCUUUUUUUGAGAUGGACUUUCACUCUUGUCACCUAGGCUGUAGUGCAGUGGCUUGAUCUCAGCUCAUUGCAACUUCCGCCUCCUGGGUUCAAGAGAUUCUUCUGCCUCAGCUUCCCAAGUAACUGGGAUUGCAAGCACACACCACCACGCCCAACUAAUUUUUUGUAUUUUUUAGUAGAGACAGGGUUUUGCCUUGUUGGACAGGCUGGUCUCAAGCUCCUGACCUCAGGUAAUCUGUCCGUCUUGGCCUCCCAAAGUGCUGGGAUUACAGAUCAGAUCCAGGCUGUGAAGACAUGAAAAGAUAAUAGUUGGAACCCUCAGCAACGUUCAGUUCAAGGCAUCUGUCGAAGGCAAACAGAAUACUUUACAUUUUGUAAGAGACGUUCAUGCAUCUAAGAAUAUAAUUUUCUGCUUGCAUUUAUGGACUCUGGUUGAGUUUUUUACGAACAUAGGACUUCAGGUAUGCUAAUCUGGCCAUUAAUUAUUUAAAAACUAAAUCUUCCCUCCAAAGGGCUCCCUAGAAUUAUCAACUUCUUAGUGAAGAUCUACAGUUGAUUGUAUGUAGAAUGUUUAAAAGUCAGAGUUACAAGCUAUCUCAUCCCUUCAUGAUUUAUGAUAUGUUUAAAGUAUUUUAUUUUUUAAUUGUCUUUUUUAUAAAUUUAGUUUAUGACUUUGUAGUAUGAAUUGUGCUUGUGAAAAAUAACCUUAAACAUUUAUAAGGGACAUGGGUAAUUAAUAUACCUUCAAUUUUUACUAUGUGUCACCAUCAAUAAAAUGUAAAAUGUAAUGUA